CCUACGGGUGGCAGCAGUGAGGAAUAUUGGUCAAUGGACGAGAGUCUGAACCAGCCAAGUAGCGUGAAGGAUGACUGCCCUAUGGGUUGUAAACUUCUUUUAUAUGGGAAUAAAACGUUCCACGUGUGGGUUUUUUCAUGUACCAUAUGAAUAAGGAUCGGCUAACUCCGUGCCAGCAGCCGCGGUAAUACGGAGGAUCCGAGCGUUAUCCGGAUUUAUUGGGUUUAAAGGGAGCGUAGAUGGGUUGUUAAGUCAGUUGUGAAAGUUUGCGGCUCAACUGUAACAUUGCAGUGGAAACUGGCAGUCUUGAGUACAGUAGAGGUGGACGGAAUUCGUGGUGUAGCGGUGAAAUGCUUAGAUAUCAGGAAGAACUCCGAUUGCGAAAGCAGUUCACUGGACUGCAACUGACACUGAGGCUCGAAAGUGGGGGUAUCAAACGGGAUUAGAUACCCUUGUAGUC
RNAcentral lists this ribosomal RNA (460 nucleotides) under uncultured bacterium. Its description in RNAcentral is "partial 16S ribosomal RNA". It matches the Rfam family "Bacterial small subunit ribosomal RNA", at positions 338 to 795 of the family's 1533-position model. The record is from RNAcentral.